Molecule: ribosomal RNA, 301 nt
Filed under: uncultured bacterium
Lineage: Bacteria
Description: partial 16S ribosomal RNA
Rfam family: Bacterial small subunit ribosomal RNA
Source: RNAcentral
CAGCAGCCGCGGUAAGACAGAGGAUGCAAGCGUUAUCCGGAAUGAUUGGGCGUAAAGCGCGCGCAGGUGGUUUAAUAAGUCUGAUGUGAAAGCCCACGGCUCAACCGUGGAGGGUCAUUGGAAACUGUUAAACUUGAGUGCAGGAGAGAAAAGUGGAAUUCCUAGUGUAGCGGUGAAAUGCGUAGAGAUUGGGAGGAACACCAGUGGCGAAGGCGGCUUUUUGGCCUGUAACUGACACUGAGGCGCGAAAGCGUGGGGAGCAAACAGGAUUAGAUACCCCCGUAGUCCCUGUCUCUUAUAA